This is a long non-coding RNA of Vespa mandarinia (Asian giant hornet), 3159 nucleotides long. Lineage: Eukaryota; Metazoa; Arthropoda; Insecta; Hymenoptera; Vespidae. The record is from RefSeq and is a predicted model, not a curated record.
UCAUGUUAUGAGAGAGCACGCCUAUAUGUGAUAUCACGAAGGGAGUUUUGGUCUCCAAUUGUUCAUAUGAUAAUAUGAUGGUAAAAAAGAGGCUGUUUUUAUUAAAAAUUUGAAGACAUUAAAAUCGAGAAAAAUUUGUUUAUCUUCGCACACGAAUAUAGCAUAUCGUAAUGAGACCAGAUGCGGAAUAGAAUUGGUUGUUAUCAACGAUAUAAAUAAAUAUGAAUAACAAUAAGUUAAGAGAUUUGUGCCGCUUCAAUUGUUAUCCAUUUUUAUAUGUAUAUAUCUUACAUCAUAUAAUAUUAUACUACAUUAUUCACAAUCUAUAAUUCAGAGGUCCCCCGAAUUUGUCACGGUAGAAGGAAAUAACGUGUUUUCUUUACUUGUUUUUUUGGUCACACGUUAAAAUAUAUAAAUACGUUUCGAUCGAGAUAAAACAAUAAAACAUACAUAGAGCGAUAAAACAUAGACAGGCAUAAGAUUAUUUAAAUCUACAUAAUGUUCGUACAUUUUUUUUUACAAUAGAAUUAUGUUUUGAACCAAAAAAAAAACGAAAAAGAAAAGGAAAGAAAAGAUUGAAUCGAAAUAUAAUUAAAUGAUAACUGAAUAAUAAUCAGUGUUAUGUACUAAUAGUACGUUGCGACGAUAUAUAUCAGAUUAUACAAUUUAAUUGCGCGUGAUAAUCAUCAUGAUGGCAUUAUCAACAACAAUACAAAUUAUAUAUAAUGGAAAAUUCCUUUCAUUUCCGCAUUCUCGGUUUUUGAUUAUAUCUUGUUUAAAAUUAGUAAUAAAAGUUCGAACAUGUAAAUGCAAUUAGUUCGUACAAUUAUUGAAAAUAAUAUUUUCUUUUAUUACUUUAAUUCUUUCAUUCAUACGAUCGGCUUGUAAUACUUAAUGUACAUUACGUCUUUACAUUCUUACGUAGAGUCUAUUUGGAAUACUUUCUACGAAUCACUUUCCAUGAAUAAUUUGUGUUUGUAUGUGUGUAUGUGUAUUAUUAUUUUUUUGGCUUUCUUUAUCUUUAUAUCUUACAUAGAGACUAAGCGAUUUAUAUUUUACAUAGAGACUAAGCGAUUGUAAAAUUAAGAUAAAAUGCGAAAGAUCACUAGAUACUAUGAUCGAUUUUAAUCUCGACGAAAUAAAAAAUAAUGAAUGUUUUUCCUCGUUAGCAGGUGUAUAAUGUAAUCGUAUACAAUUUUUUAGAGAUAUAAUAUAUAUACUUACAUACGUAUGUACAUAUGCAAUCGGAGAUAAUCUUUAAACGCAAUAUAAUUUUAAAUGAAUGAAGAGAUUUUUUGUUUAUAUUAGAUAAUUACAUCUCUCUUUCUCUCUCUCUCUCUCUUUCUCUUAUUGCUACGUAAGAACGUUCUCAAGGAUAUUUUCAUUUGGCAGUAAAGAAUUGUAUAACUUCUGUAUAUCUCUAAAUUCUUUUUUUAUUGGAUCUUUUUCCUUUUUUUUUUCUUUUUUUGCUCUUAAUUUGAAUAUUCUUCUUGUUUACGUCAUAUUUGUCUCCGAUUAAAAUUAAUAAUUCAUCUGUAUCACGAUAAUAAUAAUGAUAAUAAUAAUAAUUACGUUUAAAUAUCGUAUCCUCAUUCAUACGUAAUAUCUCUCAAAAGAUCAUAUGAUUUUAUAAUUAAGAAUUUAGCUAUAAUAAUAUUUAUUUGCGAUCAAAGUCUUUAACACCACUUACGUAACUUGAUAAGUAAUUAUGGCAGCUUUCGAUUGAGGACACUCGAACGUUCGUAAAAUAUUUUUUCCAUCUUUUUGUUUUUCUUUCCUUUUCUUUUUUCUUUUUUUCUUUUUUUCCUCCUUUUCCUUUUUGUUUCCGUUAUAGUAGUUAUUAAUUUCAGUACGAAGAGCGGAUCAAUCGAUCCCCAUAUAUUGCUUCUCUCAUAAAUCCGAGACAGUUCUCAUCUCUGUCUCUCUCACAAUGUCCCAUAUAAACGCUUAAAACAUUUUCUCCCUCUUUUUCUCUCUCUCCCCCUCUCUCUCUCUCUCUCUUUCUCUCUCUCUCUCUCUUUUUCCUUUUCUAUCUUUCUCUCUGUAUGUAUAUACACAUGAAAUCGUGAUAAUUCAAUUUGUUUUUUUUUAUAUCUGCGUUUCUUUAUAUCAUUCAAACAAAAUAAAAGAUCCAAUAUAUCGCGUUGAACAGCAUGAAACUGACAGGAAAUAUGAUUCUCGAGUAUUUGUCGAUCACGUUAACGUCUUUGAUUUUUGGCAUGGACACGCGUAAUACCGAUGCACCUCUACGGAUAGCGUGUAGUACCUAUAAAAAUUUGUCGAUCAACAAUGUACCAAUACCAAUCGAAUGUUUUUAUGUUUAUUUUGUUUCGGGCCUCUAUAUCUGAGCCCACUGUUUCUACCAUGUGUAUUAUAGGCGACUGUUCUUGAGAUACGAAAACUGGGUGGAAAUUUGACUGGAUCAUGAUGUUUUCCAAGGCCAGGUGUCGAAGAACCACUAAUUAAACCUGAUCUAUUUCUAAUGCUUGGCAAUGGCGACAUUCUUAUAUCCUGCAGCUCAAUAAUAUCAGCAUCAGUCGAACCAGGAAAAGCUCUCGAUCUCUACGGUGCAAUUCUGCGAAUCGAGAGGAUAGUAGUGCAGAUCCAUCAUGCAGGCCAAUGUCGUUGUGAAUCUCAUGCCAUAAGUGAUGGAACCGUCGCCGGAGAGUCUGACGAGUUUAUUGCGUUCAGUUACGUCGUGCAAAAAGCUGGAAAAAGAAAAAGAAUGAAAGAGAGUGAUGAUGACUUAGAAGUCAUCUGUCUACCUGUUCUUAUCGUUGGCAAAGAAAGUAUCCGGGACCCAAAUCUUUUCUGCAAAAUCACCACUCAGUGUCAAGAUUUCCUCCUCUUGCGAAAAGGCGAGUCUUUCGUCUUUCCAAUAUUGAUUUAAAUACAUUGUUAUAGUGUAAUCCUACAACAUAAUCGGUCGAAUGAAAAUGAUCAUGAUUUAUGAAGACAUUCGAUAAGAUAGUAACGCCCUUGGGCCAAAACAUAUUUGUUUAUCGAGGACAUUGCAGAUAAAAUAUAGGAAAUGCGAUGAGAAGAAAAAGAAGAGAAAGCGCAAAGACAAAGAAACAGUGUCGGGCCUAUGAUUAAUAACAUCGGAAGUCACGAGGAGAUAAAUGAUGAGGUUCAAUCUCUCUUUGCCCUUACCAAACG